RNAcentral lists this ribosomal RNA (407 nucleotides) under uncultured prokaryote. Its description in RNAcentral is "bacterial SSU rRNA". It matches the Rfam family "Bacterial small subunit ribosomal RNA", at positions 355 to 776 of the family's 1533-position model. The record is from RNAcentral.
UGGGGAAUAUUGGGCAAUGGGCGAAAGCCUGACCCAGCAACGCCGCGUGAGGGAAGAAGGUUUUCGGAUCGUAAACCUCUGUCCUUGGGGACGAAAGAAAUGACGGUACCCAAGGAGGAAGCCCCGGCUAACUACGUGCCAGCAGCCGCGGUAAUACGUAGGGGGCGAGCGUUGUCCGGAAUGAUUGGGCGUAAAGGGCGCGUAGGCGGCCUGUUAAGUCUGGAGUGAAAUUCCUGCUUUCAAGGUAGGAAGUGCUUUGGAAACUGGCGGGCUGGAGUGCAGGAGAGGUUAGCGGAAUUCCCGGUGUAGCGGUGAAAUGCGUAGAGAUCGGGAGGAACACCAGUGGCGAAAGCGGCGCCCUAGCAUUGGCCUGACGCUCAUGUGCGAAAGCGUGGGGAGCGAACGGG